GAUGAACGCUGGCGGCGUGCCUAAUACAUGCAAGUCGAGCGAACGGACGAGAAGCUUGCUUCUCUGAUGUUAGCGGCGGACGGGUGAGUAACACGUGGAUAACCUACCUAUAAGACUGGGAUAACUUCGGGAAACCGGAGCUAAUACCGGAUGAUAUUUUGAACCGCAUGGUUCAAAAGUGAAAGACGGUCUUGCUGUCACUUAUAGAUGGAUCCGCGCUGCAUUAGCUAGUUGGUAAGGUAACGGCUUACCAAGGCAACGAUGCAUAGCCGACCUGAGGGGGAGACCGCCCACCCUGAAAGGAGAGCCGGUCCCGCACACCGGCGGGGGGCGCAGGAGGGCACCCUUCCGAAAGGGGGGAAAGCCGGACGGAUCAACGCGGCGUGGAUGAUAAUGGUCUUGGUAUCGUAAAACUUUUUUAGUAGGGAAGAACAUAUUUGAAAGUAGCUGUGCCAUUCUUGAGGGUCCCUAAUAGAAAAGCCACGUCUAACUAGGUG
This 497-nucleotide ribosomal RNA is filed under the name uncultured bacterium. Its description in RNAcentral is "partial 16S ribosomal RNA". It matches the Rfam family "Bacterial small subunit ribosomal RNA", at positions 28 to 507 of the family's 1533-position model. The record is from RNAcentral.